Molecule: ribosomal RNA, 775 nt
Filed under: uncultured Neocallimastigales
Lineage: Eukaryota; Fungi; Neocallimastigomycota; Neocallimastigomycetes; Neocallimastigales
Description: partial large subunit ribosomal RNA
Rfam family: Eukaryotic large subunit ribosomal RNA
Source: RNAcentral
AGAGAGAGACAUGCGCGCAUAUCAAUAAGCGGAGGAAAAGAAACUAACAAGGAUUCCCUUAGUAACGGCGAGUGAAGCGGGAAGAGCUCAAAUUUGAAAUCUUCAAGGUUCUACCUUGACGAAUUGUAGUUUAUAGAAGUGUUUUCUGUUAGUAGAGUGGCAAAAGUUCUUUGGAAUAGGACAUCAUAGAGGGUGAGAAUCCCGUAUUUGGUCAUUCCUCCUAGCGUUGUGAUACACUUUCAACGAGUCGGAUUGUUUGGGAAUGCAGUCCAAAAUGGGUGGUAAAUUUCAUCUAAAGCUAAAUAUUGGCGAGAGACCGAUAGCGAACAAGUACCGUGAGGGAAAGAUGAAAAGAACUUUGAAAAGAGUGUUAAACAGUACGUGAAAUUGUCAAAAGGGAAGCGUUUGACACCAGUGUUGUUUUUCCGAAAAUCAAUUACGAAUGUUUUAGUUUUUGAGGAGUUAUGACUUCAUCGGCUUGCUCCUUUCUUUACGAAACUUUCUUAAUGCACUUUUCGGUUAACAAGUCAACAUCAAUUUCUUUUGUUGUAAAAGGGUAUGAGGAAGGUGGCUUUCUUUUCGGAGAAAGUGUUUAUAGCCUCGUGCCUCUGCAAUCGGAGAGAUUGAGGUCUGCAGCGUAGAUCCUUCGGGGUUAGAUACAUUUGUGCUAAGUUAUAGCUUUUCAUAGACAACUUGUUGACUAUGUUUAGUCUUGUAGCUUACUCGCUUAUGCUAUUUUACCUACGCUUAGGAUGUUGAUAGUCACAGCGUGUAC